UUUUCUUUCCAAACUUUUCAUCUCGCCCUCUAUGAAAUUAUUCUUCCUACAAACUAAAUUUUCUUGUUCAGUAUUAUACCUAUAAUACUACAAAGCCUUGCUUCGUUUUAAGUAUUGUAACUCUCGAUCACCGCUAUCCUUUCCGAUUGAUCUGAACCCCAUAACGCAUGUCAAGGCUCUGCCCGACUAAGUUCGUUUGGGUUCUGUCUCGGGACAUCGGGACAAGGUUGAUUUAGGGGUACUAUACUUACCACGAGUAGAUUAUAUAUUUUUAUAUAUAUAUAUAGCCCAAAAGUUAUACCCAAAAUUUAUACCAGGAGUCUUUCUAGUUGAACCCUAAAGUUACACAGUGGGUCCAUUCUCUUUAUUUUAUUCUCUUUUUAUGAUCUACCCAAAACUAUUAGUUAUUAUUCUAUUUUGUAAACAACUCUCAUCAAAAGUCAUACCUAUUAUUUUAUUUACUCAAUAGGAAACCCUAGUUGAGACACCCAAGUAAUCCUACACAACUCCUAAAAUUCUCAUAACAAUCAAAAUCAAGAUCAGGGCCCCUAAAACUUAGGAGGGGGAUAUUCCCACUUGAUAAUUAUCUUUAUAUCUCGUUGUCAAAAUUCGAAUUUAAUAUUCCGUCGACUCAUCAAGCCUACACACAUACGUGGCAAGCCUAUAGUGAAAAGGUGUCCCUUACGGACCGUAAGGGAUAAGGCUUACGGUCCGUAAGCCAGUCAAAUUUCGUGUAUAAAUAGCAGGCAUCGGCACUUGCAGUCUGCUGUUCAUUCGACGAUUAAAUUCCGAUUAUACACCGAGUUAUCGUCUAAAUACUCUAAAAACACACACGCGAAUCACUAAUUAGUAUAGCAGGGUGCUGCUACGAUACAGGGUUACAAGGCUAAAUCAAUAGGCUAAGCUCUGCCUGUAUAAAUCUGCAAUAUAUCAAGGCUUAUCUGUAGACUAAACUUUGGCCGUAUGAAUCUGCAUGAUUAUAAUGUAAUUACAGUAGAUUGGAGUAAGGAUUGGAUCCGGCACUAUAAGACUUCAAGAAGUGGCUUAUUUUAUUAAGUAAAUCAAAUUAAGAAAUAUUAUUUUUAUUAAAAGCUACCUUUGUAAAACAUGGAAUUUAUUUCAUCUAUUUAAAUAAAAUCCGGUGUUUCUAAACUCUGAUAAUUUCCUAACUCACGGUCCUGAUGAAAUUUCCGCUGCAAUGUUUUUUUUUAAAAUAAUCACCGGUACCACUAGACUGCUCGCGGCUUCCGAUUCCGGCUAGGAUGGGGUCGGGGGUCGUGACAAUAUGUGUUCCUAAGAGUUAGUCAGAUGCUUAAGCGUACCCCAUUACCCUUAAAACACCAAACCUGUUGUAGAACUAGCUAAUGGUAAAAGUCUUGAGGGUGCAGACAUAGUUAAGGGUUGUAACCUCGCUUUAACUGGUCAGACCUUCUCUAUCGACUCUAUCCCCUUCAUACUUGGUAGCUUCGACGUCGUUAUCGGGAUGGAUUGGUUGACUCAUCAUCGAAUAGAGAUUCUUUGUAAGGAGAAAUAGUCCGCAUUCCUCAUUCUGGUGAAGAACCUCUUAUUAUUUGUAGCAACAAGAGUAGCGCUGUGGUGAACAUCAUCUUUUUCCUUAAGGCCCAUAAGUGCUUACGAAAGGGCCACACUGUCAUCCUAGCUCUUGCUACUGACACCUCGACGAAAAGAAAAGGGGAUAGAAGAUACCCCGAUUGUACACGACUUUCCUGAAGUAUUCCCUGAGGAAUCACCUGGCCUUCCGCCUCAUCGUCAGGUCGAAUUUCAAAUCGAGCUAGCUCCUGGAGCAGCACCAAUAGCUCGUGUCCGCUCAGCUUCAGGAACUUUUGGGCAAGGGUUUCAUUCAUCCUAGCUCUUUGCCUUGGGAAGCUCCAGCGUUGUUCGUAAAGAAAAAGGACGGUGCCUUCCGCAUGUGCAUUGAUUACCACGAACUCAACAAGGUGACCGUGAAGAAUCGCUACUCUCUCCCUCAUAUUGACAACCAGUUCGACCAGUUGCAAGGGAGACAUUUGUGAUUUUGGAACUUCUUCGUAAAGGACAGCUUACGCUAAGAUCUCGAAAUGUGACUUUUGGCUUCGUGAAGUCCAUUUCCUAGACCACGUGGUUAAUAAGGAUGGGAUUCAUGUUGAUCCAUCCAAGGUUGACUCAAUCAAGAACUGGGCUGCAAAUCUUGGGAUUUGUAUGUAACGCUCCGCGUUUUUCAUAACUUUCCAUACUUAGAAGCCGUUGUUCAUAUUCCUAUUUUUGGAAACUUUGUGACCUUGUAUUCGAUGUUUCGUUGUAAUUGUCGAAUAAUCUUUAUCUUUAAUCUAUUUCGUU
This 2337-nucleotide long non-coding RNA is filed under the name Helianthus annuus (common sunflower). Its description in RNAcentral is "hypothetical non coding rna". The record is from RNAcentral. Lineage: Eukaryota; Viridiplantae; Streptophyta; Magnoliopsida; Asterales; Asteraceae.